This 372-nucleotide ribosomal RNA is filed under the name uncultured organism. RNAcentral's name for it is "bacterial SSU rRNA". It matches the Rfam family "Bacterial small subunit ribosomal RNA", at positions 526 to 896 of the family's 1533-position model. The record is from RNAcentral.
CGGAGGUGGCAAGCGUUGUUCGGAAUUACUGGGCGUAAAGGGCGCGUAGGCGGCAAGGCAAGUCAGGUGUGAAAGCCCCGGGCUUAACCCGGGAAUUGCAUCUGAAACUGCUGUGCUUGAGUUCUGGAGGGGGUAGUGGAAUUCCCAGUGUAGCGGUGAAAUGCGUAGAUAUUGGGAGGAACACCUGCGGCGAAGGCGGCUACCUGGACAGAAACUGACGCUGAGGCGCGAAAGCUAGGGGAGCGAACGGGAUUAGAUACCCCGGUAGUCCUAGCUGUAAACGAUGGGCACUUGGUGUUGGGGGUAUUGAGUCCCCCAGUGCCGGAGUCAACACGUUAAGUGCCCCGCCUGGGGAGUACGGUCGCAAGACUG